RNAcentral lists this long non-coding RNA (276 nucleotides) under Hordeum vulgare. RNAcentral describes it as "long non-coding RNA (HVUL_LNC017550)". Lineage: Eukaryota; Viridiplantae; Streptophyta; Magnoliopsida; Poales; Poaceae. The record is from RNAcentral.
CUGUGUUGCUCAACCAAGUUUUGCUGUAAUGGUAUUCUAUAAGAUAUGUACUUCCUUUCCCCCUAGCGCCUCGGGAGGGUCCUUGACAUACGCUGGGUUGGGUACGUACCAGAAUCUCCUUAACUAGCAUUGUUUGCAUUGACAUUGCAUGUACCUGUAUUUUCAUUCACAGGGUCAAAAUCAUUUUUCUGAUACAUUGGGUCAUGCCCACUUUUCCCUCCAUGACCACCUAGGCCCUACUAGCCCAAUCACCUCUUCCACAAGUAGUGCUACCAC